AUUGAACGCUGGCGGCAUGCCUUACACAUGCAAGUCGAACGGUAACAGGUCUUCGGAUGCUGACGAGUGGCGAACGGGUGAGUAAUACAUCGGAACGUGCCCGAUCGUGGGGGAUAACGGAGCGAAAGCUUUGCUAAUACCGCAUACGAUCUACGGAUGAAAGCAGGGGACCGCAAGGCCUUGCGCGGACGGAGCGGCCGAUGGCAGAUUAGGUAGUUGGUGGGAUAAAAGCUUACCAAGCCGACGAUCUGUAGCUGGUCUGAGAGGACGACCAGCCACACUGGGACUGAGACACGGCCCAGACUCCUACGGGAGGCAGCAGUGGGGAAUUUUGGACAAUGGGCGAAAGCCUGAUCCAGCCAUGCCGCGUGCAGGAUGAAGGCCUUCGGGUUGUAAACUGCUUUUGUACGGAACGAAAGACUCCUUCUAAUAAAGGGGGUUCAGUGUACGGUACCGUAAGAAUAAGCACCGGCUAACUACGUGCCAGCAGCCGCGGUAAG
This 500-nucleotide ribosomal RNA is filed under the name uncultured bacterium. RNAcentral describes it as "bacterial SSU rRNA". It matches the Rfam family "Bacterial small subunit ribosomal RNA", at positions 30 to 524 of the family's 1533-position model. The record is from RNAcentral.